AGAGUUUGAUCCUGGCUCAGGACGAACGCUGGCGGCGUGCUUAACACAUGCAAGUCGAACGGAAAGGCCCUUCGGGGUACUCGAGUGGCGAACGGGUGAGUAACACGUGGGUGAUCUGCCCUGCACUUUGGGAUAAGCCUGGGAAACUGGGUCUAAUACCGAAUAGGACCGCGCGCUUCAUGGUGUGUGGUGGAAAGCUUUUGCGGUGUGGGAUGGGCCCGCGGCCUAUCAGCUUGUUGGUGGGGUAAUGGCCUACCAAGGCGACGACGGGUAGCCGGCCUGAGAGGGUGACCGGCCACACUGGGACUGAGAUACGGCCCAGACUCCUACGGGAGGCAGCAGUGGGGAAUAUUGCACAAUGGGCGCAAGCCUGAUGCAGCGACGCCGCGUGAGGGAUGACGGCCUUCGGGUUGUAAACCUCUUUCACCAGGGACGAAGCGCAAGUGACGGUACCUGGAGAAGAAGCACCGGCCAACUACGUGCCAGCAGCCGCGGUAAUACGUAGGGUGCGAGCGUUGUCCGGAAUUACUGGGCGUAAAGAGCUCGUAGGUGGUUUGUCGCGUUGUUCAUGAAAACUCACAGCUUAACUGUGGGCGUGCGGGCGAUACGGGCAGACUAGAGUACUGCAGGGGAGACUGGAAUUCCUGGUGUAGCGGUGGAAUGCGCAGAUAUCAGGAGGAACACCGGUGGCGAAGGCGGGUCUCUGGGCAGUAACUGACGCUGAGGAGCGAAAGCGUGGGGAGCGAACAGGAUUAGAUACCCUGGUAGUC
Molecule: ribosomal RNA, 770 nt
Filed under: uncultured bacterium
Lineage: Bacteria
Description: bacterial SSU rRNA
Rfam family: Bacterial small subunit ribosomal RNA
Source: RNAcentral